RNAcentral lists this ribosomal RNA (253 nucleotides) under uncultured bacterium. RNAcentral describes it as "partial 16S ribosomal RNA". It matches the Rfam family "Bacterial small subunit ribosomal RNA", at positions 524 to 776 of the family's 1533-position model. The record is from RNAcentral.
UACGGAGGAUCCGAGCGUUAUCCGGAUUUACUGGGUGUAAAGGGAGCGUAGACGGCAGCGCAAGUCUGGAGUGAAAUGCCGGGGCCCAACCCCGGAACUGCUCUGGAAACUGUGAAGCUGGAGUGCAGGAGAGGUAAGCGGAAUUCCUGGUGUAGCGGUGAAAUGCGUAGAUAUCACGCAGAACUCCGAUUGCGAAGGCAGCAUACCGGCGCCCUACUGACGCUGAGGCACGAAAGCGUGGGUAUCGAACAGG